RNAcentral lists this ribosomal RNA (491 nucleotides) under uncultured bacterium. RNAcentral's name for it is "partial 16S ribosomal RNA". It matches the Rfam family "Bacterial small subunit ribosomal RNA", at positions 29 to 507 of the family's 1533-position model. The record is from RNAcentral.
AGUGAACGCUGGCGGUAGGCCAACCCAUGCCAGUCGAACGGCAGCACAGUAAGAGCUUGCUCUUACGGGUGGCGAGUGGCGGACGGGUGAGGAAUACAUCGGAAUCUACUUUUUCGUGGGGGAUAACGUAGGGAAACUUACGCUAAUACCGCAUACGACCUACGGGUGAAAGCAGGGGAUCUUCGGACCUUGCGCGAUUGAAUGAGCCGAUGUCGGAUUAGCUAGUUGGCGGGGUAAAGGCCCACCAAGGCGACGAUCCGUAGCUGGUCUGAGAGGAUGAUCAGCCACACUGGAACUGAGACACGGUCCAGACUCCUACGGGAGGCAGCAGUGGGGAAUAUUGGACAAUGGGCGCAAGCCUGAUCCAGCCAUACCGCGUGGGUGAAGAAGGCCUUCGGGUUGUAAAGCCCUUUUGUUGGGAAAGAAAAGCAGCAGGUUAAUACCCCGCUGUUCUGACGGUACCCAAAGAAUAAGCACCGGCUAACUUCGUG